RNAcentral lists this ribosomal RNA (277 nucleotides) under uncultured soil bacterium. Its description in RNAcentral is "partial 16S ribosomal RNA". It matches the Rfam family "Bacterial small subunit ribosomal RNA", at positions 27 to 303 of the family's 1533-position model. The record is from RNAcentral.
UGAUUGAACGCUGGCGGCAGGCCUAACACAUGCAAGUCGAGCGGUAGAGAGGUGCUUGCAUCUCUUGAGAGCGGCGGACGGGUGAGUAAUGCCUAGGAAUCUGCCUAGUGGUGGGGGAUAACGUUCGGAACGGACGCUAAUACCGCAUACGUCCUACGGGAGAAAGGCGGGGGACCUUCGGGCCUCGCGCCAUUAGAUGAGCCUAGUCGAGUAGCUAGUUGGUGAGGUAAGUGGCUCACCAACGGACGACGAUCCGUAACUGGUCGUGAGAGGAGUG